Molecule: ribosomal RNA, 322 nt
Filed under: uncultured eukaryote
Lineage: Eukaryota
Description: partial 18S ribosomal RNA
Rfam family: Eukaryotic small subunit ribosomal RNA
Source: RNAcentral
CCCUUAGAUGUCCUGGGCCGCACGCGCGCUACACUGAUGCAUUCAACGAGUAUUUCCUUGGCCGAGAGGCCUGGGCAAUCUUUUAAACCUGCAUCGUGAUAGGGAUAGAUUAUUGCAAUUAUUAAUCUUGAACGAGGAAUUCCUAGUAAACGCAAAUCAUCAAUUUGCAUUGAUUACGUCCCUGCCCUUUGUACACACCGCCCGUCGCUCCUACCGAUUGAAUGUUCCGGUGAGCUCUUCGGACUGCGCGGUCUGCAGUUUCUGCGUUCCGUGCGGAAAGUUGCGCAAACCUUAACAUUUAGAGGAAGGAGAAGUCGUAACA